UACAGAGGUGGCAAGCGUUGUUCGGAAUUACUGGGCGUAAAGGGCGCGUAGGCGGCCAUCUAAGUCAGACGUGAAAUCCCUCAGCUUAACUGGGGAACUGCGUCUGAUACUGGAUGGCUUGAGUUUGGGAGAGGGAUGCGGAAUUCCAGGUGUAGCGGUGAAAUGCGUAGAUAUCUGGAGGAACACCGGUGGCGAAGGCGGCAUCCUGGACCAACACUGACACUGAGGAGCGAAAGCCAGGGGAGCAAACGGG
Molecule: ribosomal RNA, 253 nt
Filed under: uncultured bacterium
Lineage: Bacteria
Description: partial 16S ribosomal RNA
Rfam family: Bacterial small subunit ribosomal RNA
Source: RNAcentral